GUGGAUGAGGCAUGCAAGUCGAACGAAUCUUGUAGCUUGCUACAAGAUUAGUGGCGGAAGGGUUAGUAAUACAUGGGUAACUUGCCUUUAACUUGGGAAUAACGCUUGGAAACGGGCGCUAAUACCGAAUGUGGUGGCUUAAGGCAUCUUAGGCAAAUUAAAGUGGGGGAUCGCAAGACCUCGCGGUUAAAGAGAGGCCCAUGGGAUAUCAGCUAGUUGGUGAGGUAAUGGCUCACCAAGGCUAAGACGUCUAGGCGGAUUGAGAGAUUG
Molecule: ribosomal RNA, 270 nt
Filed under: uncultured Chlamydiales bacterium
Lineage: Bacteria; Pseudomonadati; Chlamydiota; Chlamydiia; Chlamydiales
Description: partial 16S ribosomal RNA
Rfam family: Bacterial small subunit ribosomal RNA
Source: RNAcentral